AGCUCCAAUAGCGUAUAUUAAAGUUGUUGCAGUUAAAAAGCUCGUAGUUGGAUUUCUGGCAGGAGCGACCGGUCGCACACUAUGUGUGUGAACUUGCGUUGUCUCUGGCCAUCCUUGGGGAGAUCCCGUUUGGCAUUAAGUUGUCGGGCGGGGGAUACCCAUCGUUUACUGUGAAAAAAUUAGAGUGUUUAAAGCAGGCUUAUGCCGUUGAAUAUAUUAGCAUGGAAUAAUAAGAUAGGACUUCGGAACUAUUUUGUUGGUUUGCGUUACGAAGUAAUGAUUAAUAGGGACAGUUGGGGGUAUUCGUAUUUCGUUGUCAGAGGUGAAAUUCUUGGAUUUCCGAAAGACGAACUACUGCGAAAGCAUUUACCAAGGAUGUUUUCAUUA
This 387-nucleotide ribosomal RNA is filed under the name Thalassiosira sp. RNAcentral describes it as "partial small subunit ribosomal RNA". It matches the Rfam family "Eukaryotic small subunit ribosomal RNA", at positions 587 to 975 of the family's 1831-position model. The record is from RNAcentral. Lineage: Eukaryota; Bacillariophyta; Thalassiosirophyceae; Thalassiosirales; Thalassiosiraceae.